CGCUUGGAUGGAUAAUGGAUUUUUUUUUUUUUUUGAACUGUCCAUGGCACCUUCUCCUGGGGCAACUGAGAGCGAACUGACCAAUACAUUGGAUUAUUGAUGACAUCGUGGAUGAUUUCACAUGAAGCAGAACCAGGAAAAAAAUGCACUGCAUAAGAUUCUGGUCCACCCUAAAAUAAUCGAAUGCUCAGACCUGUAAAUUGAAACUGAACAGCGACUGCACAAACACAUGGCUCAACACAGAAGGGCCAACUCCUCAGGUCAAGACUCUACAUCUGAAGGAUAAACGACACUCGUUUGAGGACCACCAGGUGCACAUUUUAGACAGAGAGGAUGGAUGGUUCGAUAGAGGAGUGAAAGAGGUCAUCUACAUCAGAGUGGAGAAACCAUCUCGCAACAUGGGAGGAGGGCCGAGACACCACUUAUCUCCGACCUACAAUCCUUUCAUCUCUUCCCAGGAGACUGAACACUCACAUCUAAUAACUCCAAUAACUGUCGUUAAAACAGCCAGGAGCACUAACGAACCUUGAUAACGACCCCACAGAGAUUAAACAGCUGGGAUUCCCUGCCAGUCAGUUGUCAGGGAAAAUAAUUCCUUCCCAAAGAAUACGGAGUCAAAUAGAUGUGUUGAAUCAUUUCUUUAGGUAACGUGGCCACGGAGAGAACGCACGGUUACUCGAACUCAGCAUUUCCUCUCCUUAAGUACAGAACAAGUACAAAGCAAACAACAGCCAGCAAAUGGUAGAUGAAGGAUAAACAAAGAGUAUUAGCAUACACUCAAAAACUCUUCCUGAGCGAAGAAAGGAAAUGCAAAUGUACGUGGCAUCAGAUUUCUCUCACCUACAUGCCAGCAGAUGUUUAUUGUAAAUCAGACAACCUUUUGCUUAGGAAUAAAAACCCUGUGACCAAUG
Molecule: long non-coding RNA, 911 nt
Organism: Micropterus dolomieu (smallmouth bass)
Lineage: Eukaryota; Metazoa; Chordata; Actinopteri; Centrarchiformes; Centrarchidae
Exons: 3
Source: RefSeq, a predicted model, not a curated record